This 510-nucleotide ribosomal RNA is filed under the name uncultured bacterium. RNAcentral's name for it is "partial 16S ribosomal RNA". It matches the Rfam family "Bacterial small subunit ribosomal RNA", at positions 28 to 507 of the family's 1533-position model. The record is from RNAcentral.
GACGAACGCUGGCGGCGUGCUUAACACAUGCAAGUCGAACGAAGAGCGAUGGAAGCUUGCUUCUAUCACUCUUAGUGGCGAACGGGUGAGCAACGCGUAAUCAACCUGCCCUUCAGAGGGGGACAACAGUUGGAAACGACUGCUAAUACCGCAUACGAUCUAAUCUCGGCAUCGAGGAUAGAUGAAAGGUGGCCUCUACAUGUAAGCUAUCACUGAAGGAGGGGAUUGCGUCUGAUUAGCUAGUUGGGGGGGUAACGGCCCACCAAGGCGAAGAUCAGUAGCCGGUCUGAGAGGAUGAACGGCCACAUUGGGACGGAGACACGGCCCAGACUCCUACGGGAGGCAGCAGUGGGGGAUCUUCCGCAAUGGACGAAAGGCUGACGGAGCAACGCCGCGUGAGUGAUGACGGCCUUCGGGUUGUAAAGCUCUGUUAAUCGGGACGAAAGGCCUUCUUGCGAACAGUUAGAAGGGUUGACGGUACCGGAAGAGAAAGCCACGGCUAACUACGUG